GCUUCUUCUCAUCCUCCGCAAUAUCAGUCUAUAAGAUAUUGCUCUCUCCUGGUGCUCCUCCUACCUCUCCCAGCGCUCUUUCAGUGUUUCUUUCUCUGGCUCUGCUUCUUCUCCCCAACUCCUCUCUGUUGGCGUCCCCCAAGGUUCAGUCCUUGGUCCCCUACUGUUCUCCAUCUAUACUGCCUCCCUUGGAAAACUCAUUAGCU
Molecule: non-coding RNA, 206 nt
Organism: Pelobates cultripes (western spadefoot toad)
Lineage: Eukaryota; Metazoa; Chordata; Amphibia; Anura; Pelobatidae
Source: the annotation of a GenBank genome assembly